Long non-coding RNA from Fukomys damarensis (Damara mole-rat), 732 nucleotides. RefSeq lists it as uncharacterized. Lineage: Eukaryota; Metazoa; Chordata; Mammalia; Rodentia; Bathyergidae. The transcript is spliced from 3 exons. The record is from RefSeq and is a predicted model, not a curated record.
CACCUGCUCCUCCACCUGAGGUCAGGGCACCAACCUCAGUGUGGGCAGAGCGGAUGGGGCGGCACUCCCUGGAAAGGCCAGGUGGACCAGCCAGGGGACCUGAGCCCUCAGAGCAGACCAAGUCCGACUGCUCUCCUGCUGUCCCGGGCAUGGAGACCCCUGGGCUCUCUGAGCACAGAGGGGAACCGUGACUUGGCAGGCUCAGUCCCCACUUGGAUAAGAGGAUCCUGGAGUCCAGAGGGAAGGUGGCAUAAUCUCGGGCAGGAGCACAUGCACUUGACCUGGGGCCCUCUCCCCAGGACCAGCAGUCUCCCCACAAACUCUUCUAUCCACUCACAGCUGAAGCAGACGGCCCUGGAGCUGCCCUGCUUGAGAAGUCAUCUACUCUGUGCUGUGCCCUUGCUGGGCAACCAGGACAGCACCCACCUUCUCCCGCCCGGUGUGCCAAGGGCCAGACUCACCUCCACCUCUCCUGUCUCGUUCUCCUUGAGCACGAAGCUGAGGACAUCCGUGUCAGGCCCUGCGAGCAGGCGUAGGUAGAGUGGGCAGUCAGCGACAGAGAGCUUCUGGAAGAGCACUGCAAACGAGAGAGGGGCUGAGCAGGCCAGGCUGGCGGGACAGCGUCCGUGUGCCUAGUGAAAGGCCCCUGACAAGAAAAGUGCAAACUUCUGCGGAUUGUCCACAACCAUGAACUUCUUGAGCAGCCCCUGGAUGACCUCACUGACUGUGGUG